Ornithodoros turicata is the source of this 100-nucleotide long non-coding RNA. RefSeq lists it as uncharacterized. The record is from RefSeq and is a predicted model, not a curated record. The transcript is spliced from 3 exons. NCBI's taxonomy places the organism in Eukaryota, Metazoa, Arthropoda, Arachnida, Ixodida, Argasidae.
AUCAGGAACAAGGGCAGGGACCAGUAACAGCUAGACGGCAGCAAGCACGUCAACGGAAUCAACUGGAUUUGGUGUGGAGGUCAUGGCUGAAGCAAGUGCU